RNAcentral lists this ribosomal RNA (2445 nucleotides) under Salmonella enterica. RNAcentral describes it as "partial 23S ribosomal RNA". It matches the Rfam family "Bacterial large subunit ribosomal RNA", at positions 589 to 2925 of the family's 2925-position model. The record is from RNAcentral. Lineage: Bacteria; Pseudomonadati; Pseudomonadota; Gammaproteobacteria; Enterobacterales; Enterobacteriaceae.
UGGGGUGACUGCGUACCUUUUGUAUAAUGGGUCAGCGACUUAUAUUCUGUAGCAAGGUUAACCGCAUAGGGGAGCCGGAGGGAAACCGAGUCUUAACCGGGCGUUAAGUUGCAGGGUAUAGACCCGAAACCCGGUGAUCUAGCCAUGGGCAGGUUGAAGGUUGGGUAACACUAACUGGAGGACCGAACCGACUAAUGUUGAAAAAUUAGCGGAUGACCUGUGGCUGGGGGUGAAAGGCCAAUCAAACCGGGAGAUAGCUGGUUCUCCCCGAAAGCUAUUUAGGUAGCGCCUCGUGAAUUCAUCUCCGGGGGUAGAGCACUGUUUCGGCCAGGGGGCCAUCCCGGCUUACCAAUCCGAUGCAAACUGCGAAUACCGGAGAAUGUUAUCACGGGAGACACACGGCGGGUGCUAACGUCCGUCGUGAAGAGGGAAACAACCCAGACCGCCAGCUAAGGUCCCAAAGUCAUGGUUAAGUGGGAAACGAUGUGGGAAGGCCCAGACAGCCAGGAUGUUGGCUUAGAAGCAGCCAUCAUUUAAAGAAAGCGUAAUAGCUCACUGGUCGAGUCGGCCUGCGCGGAAGAUGUAACGGGGCUAAACCAUGCACCGAAGCUGCGGCAGCGAACGUAUCACCCAAGACAACUUUACACAGUUGACGCCUGACGGAGCGAAGCGACGUCAAAGCGUUUUACAACGUCGAGUUGGCUUAGGGAUACGUUCGUUGGGUAGGGGAGCGUUCUGUAAGCCGUUGAAGGUGUGUCGUGAGGCAUGCUGGAGGUAUCAGAAGUGCGAAUGCUGACAUAAGUAACGAUAAAGCGGGUGAAAAGCCCGCUCGCCGGAAGACCAAGGGUUCCUGUCCAACGUUAAUCGGGGCAGGGUGAGUCGACCCCUAAGGCGAGGCCGAAAGGCGUAGUCGAUGGGAAACGGGUUAAUAUUCCCGUACUUGGUGUUACUGCGAAGGGGGGACGGAGAAGGCUAUGUUGGCCGGGCGACGGUUGUCCCGGUUUAAGCGUGUAGGUGUGUGUUCCAGGUAAAUCCGGUUCACUUUAACACUGAGGCGUGAUGACGAGGCACCACGGUGCUGAAGCAACAAAUGCCCUGCUUCCAGGAAAAGCCUCUAAGCCUCAGGUAACAUCAAAUCGUACCCCAAACCGACACAGGUGGUCAGGUAGAGAAUACCAAGGCGCUUGAGAGAACUCGGGUGAAGGAACUAGGCAAAAUGGUGCCGUAACUUCGGGAGAAGGCACGCUGACACGUAGGUGAAGUGGUUUACCCAUGGAGCUGAAGUCAGUCGAAGAUACCAGCUGGCUGCAACUGUUUAUUAAAAACACAGCACUGUGCAAACACGAAAGUGGACGUAUACGGUGUGACGCCUGCCCGGUGCCGGAAGGUUAAUUGAUGGGGUCAGCGCAAGCGAAGCUCCUGAUCGAAGCCCCGGUAAACGGCGGCCGUAACUAUAACGGUCCUAAGGUAGCGAAAUUCCUUGUCGGGUAAGUUCCGACCUGCACGAAUGGCGUAAUGAUGGCCAGGCUGUCUCCACCCGGGACUCAGUGAAAUUGAACUCGCUGUGAAGAUGCAGUGUACCCGCGGCAAGACGGAAAGACCCCGUGAACCUUUACUAUAGCUUGACACUGAACACUGGUCCUUGAUGUGCAGGAUAGGUGGGAGGCUUUGAAGUGUGGACGCCAGUCUGCAUGGAGCCAUCCUUGAAAUACCACCCUUUAAUGGCUGGUGUUCUAACGUGGGCCCGUGAACCGGGUUGCGGACAGUGUCUGGUGGGUAGUUUGACUGGGGCGGUCUCCUCCUAAAGAGUAACGGAGGAGCACGAAGGUUGGCUAAUCCUGGUCGGACAUCAGGAGGUUAGUGCAAUGGCAUAAGCCAGCUUGACUGCGAGCGUGACGGCGCGAGCAGGUGCGAAAGCAGGUCAUAGUGAUCCGGUGGUUCUGAAUGGAAGGGCCAUCGCUCAACGGAUAAAAGGUACUCCGGGGAUAACAGGCUGAUACCGCCCAAGAGUUCAUAUCGACGGCGGUGUUUGGCACCUCGAUGUCGGCUCAUCACAUCCUGGGGCUGAAGUAGGUCCCAAGGGUAUGGCUGUUCGCCAUUUAAAGUGGUACGCGAGCUGGGUUUAGAACGUCGUGAGACAGUUCGGUCCCUAUCUGCCGUGGGCGCUGGAAGAUUGAGGGGGGCUGCUCCUAGUACGAGAGGACCGGAGUGGACGCAUCACUGGUGUUCGGGUUGUCAUGCCAAUGGCACUGCCCGGUAGCUACAUGCGGAAGAGAUAAGUGCUGAAAGCAUCUAAGCACGAAACUUGCCCCGAGAUGAAUCUUCCCUGAGCCUUUAAGGCUCCUGAAGGAACGUUGAAGACGACGACGUUGAUAGGCCGGGUGUGUAAGCGCAGCGAUGCGUUGAGCUAACCGGUACUAAUGAACCGUGAGGCUUAACCUUACA